This is a non-coding RNA of Acanthosepion pharaonis, 114 nucleotides long. The record is from the annotation of a GenBank genome assembly. NCBI's taxonomy places the organism in Eukaryota, Metazoa, Mollusca, Cephalopoda, Sepiida, Sepiidae.
UUACGGCCACAUCACGUUGAAAAACCGUUUCCCGUACGGUCACCGAAGUUAAGCAACGUCGAGACUGAGUAGUAACUGGAUGGGUGAACGUUUGCGAAUACCAAGUGCUGUAAG